Molecule: ribosomal RNA, 841 nt
Filed under: Acinetobacter junii
Lineage: Bacteria; Pseudomonadati; Pseudomonadota; Gammaproteobacteria; Moraxellales; Moraxellaceae
Description: bacterial SSU rRNA
Rfam family: Bacterial small subunit ribosomal RNA
Source: RNAcentral
GACGGGUGAGUAAUGCUUAGGAAUCUGCCUAUUAGUGGGGGACAACAUUCCGAAAGGAAUGCUAAUACCGCAUACGUCCUACGGGAGAAAGCAGGGGAUCUUCGGACCUUGCGCUAAUAGAUGAGCCUAAGUCGGAUUAGCUAGUUGGUGGGGUAAAGGCCUACCAAGGCGACGAUCUGUAGCGGGUCUGAGAGGAUGAUCCGCCACACUGGGACUGAGACACGGCCCAGACUCCUACGGGAGGCAGCAGUGGGGAAUAUUGGACAAUGGGGGGAACCCUGAUCCAGCCAUGCCGCGUGUGUGAAGAAGGCCUUAUGGUUGUAAAGCACUUUAAGCGAGGAGGAGGCUACUGAGACUAAUACUCUUGGAUAGUGGACGUUACUCGCAGAAUAAGCACCGGCUAACUCUGUGCCAGCAGCCGCGGUAAUACAGAGGGUGCGAGCGUUAAUCGGAUUUACUGGGCGUAAAGCGUGCGUAGGCGGCUUUUUAAGUCGGAUGUGAAAUCCCCGAGCUUAACUUGGGAAUUGCAUUCGAUACUGGGAAGCUAGAGUAUGGGAGAGGAUGGUAGAAUUCCAGGUGUAGCGGUGAAAUGCGUAGAGAUCUGGAGGAAUACCGAUGGCGAAGGCAGCCAUCUGGCCUAAUACUGACGCUGAGGUACGAAAGCAUGGGGAGCAAACAGGAUUAGAUACCCUGGUAGUCCAUGCCGUAAACGAUGUCUACUAGCCGUUGGGGCCUUUGAGGCUUUAGUGGCGCAGCUAACGCGAUAAGUAGACCGCCUGGGGAGUACGGUCGCAAGACUAAAACUCAAAUGAAUUGACGGGGGCCCGCACAAGCGGUGGAG